AGCUUAGGUUGCAAAGCUCUUUUACCCGGGAAGAUAAUGACGGUACCGGGAGAAUAAGCCCCGGCUAACUUCGUGCCAGCAGCCGCGGUAAUACGAAGGGGGCUAGCGUUGUUCGGAUUUACUGGGCGUAAAGCGCACGUAGGCGGAUCUUUAAGUCAGAGGUGAAAUCCCAGGGCUCAACCCUGGAACUGCCUUUGAUACUGGGGAUCUCGAGUCCGGGAGAGGUGAGUAGAACUGCGAGUGUAGAGGUGAAAUUCGUAGAUAUUCGCAAGAACACCAGUGGCGAAGGCGGCUCACUGGCCCGGANC
RNAcentral lists this ribosomal RNA (308 nucleotides) under uncultured bacterium. RNAcentral's name for it is "bacterial SSU rRNA". It matches the Rfam family "Bacterial small subunit ribosomal RNA", at positions 413 to 740 of the family's 1533-position model. The record is from RNAcentral.